Molecule: ribosomal RNA, 301 nt
Filed under: uncultured bacterium
Lineage: Bacteria
Description: partial 16S ribosomal RNA
Rfam family: Bacterial small subunit ribosomal RNA
Source: RNAcentral
CAGUCGCCGCGGGAAUACGUAGGGUGCGAGCGUUAAUCGGAAUUACUGGGCGUAAAGCGUGCGCAGGCGGUUGUGUAAGACAGGUGUGAAAUCCCCGGGCUUAACCUGGGAACUGCGCUUGUGACUGCACAGCUAGAGUAUGGCAGAGGGGGGUGGAAUUCCACGUGUAGCAGUGAAAUGCGUAGAGAUGUGGAGGAACACCGAUGGCGAAGGCAGCCCCCUGGGCCAAUACCGACGCUCAUGCACGAAAGCGUGGGGAGCAAACAGGAUUAGAUACCCCUGUAGUCCCUGUCUCUUAUAC